GAUGAAGAACGCAGCGAAAUGCGAUAAGUAAUGCGAAUUGCAGAAUUCCAGUGAGUCAUCGAAUCUUUGAACGCACAUUGCGCCCUUUGGUAUUCCGAAGGGCAUGCCUGUUCGAGCGUCAUUAUCACCCCUCAAGCCCUCGGCUUGGUGUUGGACGGUUUGGUGGAGGCCCCCUCGGGGGCUCCUGCCCCUCCCAAAGACAAUGACGGCGGCCUCGUUGGACCCCCGGUACACUGAGUUCUUCACGGGACACGUAUCGGACACAUGGGUUUACGGGACACGGUCUGCCUCCCCUCAGGGAGAAUCUUUCCAAGGUUGACCUCGGAUCAGGUAGGGAUACCCGCUGAACUUAAGCAUAUCAAUAAGCGGAGGA
This 373-nucleotide unclassified non-coding RNA is filed under the name soil metagenome. RNAcentral describes it as "partial contains 5.8S ribosomal RNA, internal transcribed spacer 2, and large subunit ribosomal RNA". The stretch from base 1 to 121 matches the Rfam family "5.8S ribosomal RNA", at positions 35 to 154 of the family's 154-position model. The record is from RNAcentral.